RNAcentral lists this ribosomal RNA (274 nucleotides) under uncultured bacterium. RNAcentral's name for it is "partial 16S ribosomal RNA". It matches the Rfam family "Bacterial small subunit ribosomal RNA", at positions 523 to 796 of the family's 1533-position model. The record is from RNAcentral.
AUCCAGAGGGUGCGAGCGUUAAUCGGAAUUACUGGGCGUAAAGCGCGCGUAGGCGGCUUAUUAAGUCAGAUGUGAAAUCCCCGGGCUCAACCUGGGAACUGCAUCUGAUACUGGUAAGCUAGAGUUUUGGAGAGGGAAGUAGAAUUUCAGGUGUAGCGGUGAAAUGCAUAGAGAUCUGAAGGAAUACCAGUGGCGAAGGCGACUUCCUGGCCAAAAACUGACGCUGAGGUGCGAAAGCGUGGGUAGCAAACGGGAUUAGAAACCCCAGUAGUCC